CCAGUUUCAUCUCUGUCCAAUAGCUUGGGUUGAGCAUGAGUUAAUGUGUGCUAUAUAAUCUUCCAGUAAACAUUUUUUUUUUCCAGAUUUUUCAUACUAUUUAAUGGAAACUUUAUCCAGUUCUGAAACAGAUUGACAAAAACCUGGAUGGAAAGCUAACUUAGCCUGACAUCUCUCCAUCCUACACUGUGAUGCCAGCUCUAAGGACACUCUGUUCAUUGUCCCUCACUGCGCUGCGGAUAUUUAUGGUUGUCUUUCAGCAGCUAAACGUGCAGCCCAGGGAGGUGGUCCACAGAGAGAAGUCCUUCAUUUUUUUGAAAUACAAGUAUUGACCAAAAAUCCUCCUUUUAUCGCAGGAACAGCAGCUUUGGAGGAAUGAACCUGAUGGAGAAGCGUGUGCUUGGAUUUGAGCUCCCUCACAGUUGCAGACUUUUGGCUUUGAGUCCCCUAAAUCUUUGCUGCUUUAAUCAGUGCACAGACUUGGGCAAAUAGAGGGUAAGAUUUAGAAGUUCUUAAUGAGAGUGUUCCUCAUGGGGAGAAAACACUGACUAGUGAUGAGCUUUUCAGUUUGGGCAGGGAGGGAAUUGCAAGAACCAUGAGCCAGUUGAAUUCAGGUGGGAAAUGUGGCACAGUGUUUGACAAUAAGUGCGAAAGAAGAUUAAUGACUGGAACAGACUGUCAAGAGAGGCGGAUUCCUCAUCUUUAGGUAUCUUCUGUUCUUGAUGGGCUGCCGCUG
Molecule: long non-coding RNA, 736 nt
Filed under: Anas platyrhynchos (mallard)
Lineage: Eukaryota; Metazoa; Chordata; Aves; Anseriformes; Anatidae
Description: lncRNA (ENSAPLG00020012770.1)
Source: RNAcentral